This is a long non-coding RNA of Erigeron canadensis, 517 nucleotides long. RefSeq lists it as uncharacterized. Lineage: Eukaryota; Viridiplantae; Streptophyta; Magnoliopsida; Asterales; Asteraceae. The transcript has 3 exons. The record is from RefSeq and is a predicted model, not a curated record.
GGGGACUCAGGGUCGGCGAUCUAUUUCUCUUGCCCACGAUCGGGCGUUGGCCAAGCACCAUAACGAAAAGAAGGAGGGGCCACCGCCCACGUGGGAGUCGACUUGGGCGGCAACCCACAGACUACAACCUCCGGAAGUUGCGUCCCGUCUGGAAGCUGCGCAGGAGAGACAUUCACAGGAUCCUGCACCGACACCUCCAACCCAGUUGUUCCCGGAAGCGUUUGGAUCGCGAUCGGGACAUCAGCGCGGACUAGGGAGGAUUCUCAGGGGUUUCGGAUCCCAUGAUUUCCCUGUUGAGUUGCCGCAACCACAUUAUGGACCUCCGGAAGGAUCCUCCUCCGGCCCGUCUGGAUCCUAUUCUGGCCCCUCUGGAUCCCAACCUUCCGGCUACCAUGUUGACUUGAACCAGCCUGGUGAUGAGUAUUUCGACCCCCGCCAGUUAUGGGGUGGGACAUCGGCGCAUUAUGGACCUCCAUCAGGGGAAUUUGGUAGCUUGUCGGAUAUGAGUGGAUUUUUU